GCAGAGCUGCAGACAAAGUGACACAAAUUGCUUCAUCCAGGAAGAAUGUGCUCGUUCACAGUGGUCCUGUGGUUUUUGAGGCUGACAGUAUGCAAACCUCCAGUCUGGAGCAGAAAGCCUCUCUUCCCACUGGAUACCUGGUGCUGGGAGCUGCAGCUGCCAUAUUGAUGCUGAUCCUGGUUUUAGCUAUAGUUGCUUUGAGAAGGUUGAACAAGCAGAAAGAAUCUGAAAUUUUAAAUAAAUGCUAUUCAUGAA
Long non-coding RNA from Polypterus senegalus (gray bichir), 255 nucleotides. RefSeq lists it as uncharacterized. NCBI's taxonomy places the organism in Eukaryota, Metazoa, Chordata, Cladistia, Polypteriformes, Polypteridae. The record is from RefSeq and is a predicted model, not a curated record. The transcript has 2 exons.